RNAcentral lists this long non-coding RNA (240 nucleotides) under Elaeis guineensis (African oil palm). Its description in RNAcentral is "long non-coding RNA (EGUI_LNC018806)". Lineage: Eukaryota; Viridiplantae; Streptophyta; Magnoliopsida; Arecales; Arecaceae. The record is from RNAcentral.
AGCAAACCAAAAAUUACGUGGUUUCAUCUCAACAAUCCAUAGAUACAAACCAAGAUCUAUGUCCAUUUAGUAUUCAUCGAUACAUGGGCAAUAAAUCUCUAAGAAAUUUGAAAUUUCAUCCUUGAUAAGUAUGUUUAAUUAUUUAUGGAAUAAGGUGGAAUAAGGCUGGGAUGAUGUUUUCUUUUUCUUCUCUUCUGAAAAACAAAUUUUGUCCCUCUAUUAUUAAUUAGGUUGUAUCAA